UCAUUUUUCACUCUCAUAUUUUUGUUCUAAACCUACAAACUGAAAGCUCUUAUGAAAGCUCCUAUGUCAGAUGGUAAGAAGAGAUCCAACAAAUACAUGCAUCAAAAAUCAAUGGCUGCUGCUAAUCAAAUAAAAGAUGUUAUCUUUCACAGCAAAAACAUUACAGACAUAUAAUGAAUGAAACAUCACUGUUGAGGAAGCAGAUGAAGAGAACAAGAAUAAUUAG
Molecule: long non-coding RNA, 226 nt
Organism: Vigna radiata var. radiata (mung bean)
Lineage: Eukaryota; Viridiplantae; Streptophyta; Magnoliopsida; Fabales; Fabaceae
Exons: 3
Source: RefSeq, a predicted model, not a curated record